RNAcentral lists this ribosomal RNA (941 nucleotides) under Neurospora crassa. RNAcentral describes it as "LSU rRNA". It matches the Rfam family "Eukaryotic large subunit ribosomal RNA", at positions 24 to 980 of the family's 3401-position model. The record is from RNAcentral. Lineage: Eukaryota; Fungi; Ascomycota; Sordariomycetes; Sordariales; Sordariaceae.
UACCCCGGCUGGGACUUAAGCAUAUCAAUAAGCGGAGGAAAAGAAACCCAACAGGGAUUGCCCUAGUAACGGCGAGUGAAGCGGCAACAGCUCAAAUUUGAAAUCUGGCUUCGGCCCGAGUUGUAAUUUGUAGAGGAAGCUUUUGGUGAGGCACCUUCUGAGUCCCCUGGAACGGGGCGCCAUAGAGGGUGAGAGCCCCGUAUAGUCGGAUGCCGAUCCAAUGUAAAGCUCCUUCGACGAGUCGAGUAGUUUGGGAAUGCUGCUCAAAAUGGGAGGUAAAUUUCUUCUAAAGCUAAAUACCGGCCAGAGACCGAUAGCGCACAAGUAGAGUGAUCGAAAGAUGAAAAGCACUUUGAAAAGAGGGUUAAAUAGCACGUGAAAUUGUUGAAAGGGAAGCGUUUGUGACCAGACUUGCGCCGUUCCGAUCAUCCGGUGUUCUCACCGGUGCACUCGGGACGGCUCAGGCCAGCAUCGGUUUUGGCGGGGGGAUAAAGGUCCGGGGAACGUAGCUCCUCCGGGAGUGUUAUAGCCCCGGGCGUAAUGCCCUCGCCGGGACCGAGGUUCGCGCAUCUGCAAGGAUGCUGGCGUAAUGGUCAUCAACGACCCGUCUUGAAACACGGACCAAGGAGUCAAGGUUUUGCGCGAGUGUUUGGGUGUAAAACCCGCACGCGUAAUGAAAGUGAACGUAGGUGAGAGCUUCGGCGCAUCAUCGACCGAUCCUGAUGUAUUCGGAUGGAUUUGAGUAAGAGCGUUAAGCCUUUGGACCCGAAAGAUGGUGAACUAUGCUUGGAUAGGGUGAAGCCAGAGGAAACUCUGGUGGGAGGCUCGCAGCGGUUUCUGACGUGCAAAUCGAUCGUCAAAUCUGAGCAUGGGGGGCGAAAAGACUAAAUCGAAACCAUCUAGUAGCUGGGUUACCUGCCCGAAGUCCCCCCUCCAGGGAA